Long non-coding RNA from Oncorhynchus tshawytscha (Chinook salmon), 838 nucleotides. The record is from Ensembl. NCBI's taxonomy places the organism in Eukaryota, Metazoa, Chordata, Actinopteri, Salmoniformes, Salmonidae.
GGAGGAUGGUUGCAGACGUUCGCAUUCAUGCAAGAAGCCAUGAAAGACAGAGGGAAGUCCAGGACUAGGACACAAGAGACCAGUCAGAACAGUUCUGAGAACAGCCUGACUGACAUCCUCAGUGUCCGGUGUGCCAGUGAUAUUGUCCUACAGCCCAUGCCACCAGGGAGAAAGAAUAGCCAAUCCCACUUCCACAACAAAGAUGUGACUAAAGAGAGAGCUGACUUGGGAAGGCUUCCAAUGGCCCCUCCACCCAUCAGCCUCCCAAUGCUCACCGUGACCUCGCUCACUGUCCAAAGGAUCAAAAACACCCUCAAAGUACCUCUCAUGCCUCUCUGCAGCUGGAGGGACAGAUGGGUAGCAAGCGUCUGGGUCCGGUCAAAACCAAAACCGGAUGUUUUUUUUUACCUCCAGCCAGAAGCAGGAGCCAGAGGUUAAAUCAAGCAGAUCACAGACACCAGGAAGGCCCAAUGUAUGCUCCACUGCAGCCAAGGAAGUAGCUCCUUUAUCUGGGACUCCAUGCAGCCAGUCUGAGGUCAGGAUCCAGGCCAUUACGUUAUUAUAAACUAGUGUUUUUCCACUUUCAAAGGACAUUCUAAUUCCUGGCAAAAUGUUCAUAAAUUGAUAAAAAUGAAAGAUUCACAGACUAAGGCCUACCUUCAAUUUGGACUUCCAGAUAAUUUGCACACGUAGUAUUUGACUACAGUUUCAACAAUAUAUUAUUGAAAACAGAAACACAAGACCUUGUUUUUAAAAAAUACUUUUUUUGUCACAAAUCACAAACCAUAACAGUUUUUUCUGACAUUUAUUGAUCAAAUAAAGUUCUCAUAAAAUAAAA